Molecule: long non-coding RNA, 263 nt
Organism: Ochotona princeps (American pika)
Lineage: Eukaryota; Metazoa; Chordata; Mammalia; Lagomorpha; Ochotonidae
Exons: 3
Source: RefSeq, a predicted model, not a curated record
GCCACUUCCUGGUCACCACAGAGGACGGCGUCCCACAGAACACUGUCUCUAGCACCAUUAUAUACUCUGGCGGUUCUUCAUUUGGUCAGAGAGACUGAGUCAGAGUGAAGUAGCCAGCUUAUUACAUCAGACUUUUCCUGAGGCCUGAAGACGGCAAUAGGAAACCAGGAUUGCAGAUCAACACUGAAGGAUCUUAGCCUUACCCUUGGUGGCCAGAACGUAGAACCUGAUGCAGCUGUGGAAGGAGCCUCUAGAUGAGAAAG